GAUGAACGCUGGCGGCGUGCCUAAUACAUGCAAGUCGAGCGAACGGACGAGAAGCUUGCUUCUCUGAUGUUAGCGGCGCACGGGUGAGUAACACGUGGAUAACCUACCUAUAAGACUGGGAUAACUUCGGGAAACCGGAGCUAAUACCGUAUGAUAUUUUGAACCGCAUGGUUCAAAAGUGAAAGACGGUCUUGCUGUCACUUAUAGAUGGAUCCGCGCUGCAUUAGCUAGUUGGUAAGGUAACGGCUUACCAAGGCAACGAUGCGUAGCCGACCGGAGAGGGUGAUAGGCCACACUGGAAGUGAGACGCGGUCCAGACUCCUACGGGAGGCAGCAGUAGGGAAUCGUACGCAAUGGGCGAAAGCCUGACGGAGCAACGCCGCGUGAGUGAUGAAGGUCUUCGGAUCGGAAAACUCUGUUAUUAGUGAAGAACAUAUGUGUAAGGAACUGUGCACAUCUUGACGGUACCUAAUCAGAAAGCCACGGCUAACUACGUG
RNAcentral lists this ribosomal RNA (497 nucleotides) under uncultured bacterium. RNAcentral's name for it is "partial 16S ribosomal RNA". It matches the Rfam family "Bacterial small subunit ribosomal RNA", at positions 28 to 507 of the family's 1533-position model. The record is from RNAcentral.